Syngnathoides biaculeatus (alligator pipefish) is the source of this 475-nucleotide long non-coding RNA. RefSeq lists it as uncharacterized. The record is from RefSeq and is a predicted model, not a curated record. NCBI's taxonomy places the organism in Eukaryota, Metazoa, Chordata, Actinopteri, Syngnathiformes, Syngnathidae. The transcript is spliced from 3 exons.
AUUGGCCUCAUAGUUCUGAGGACUCGGGUUCAAUCCCAGCCCCGCUUGUGUGGAGUUUGCAUGUUCUCCCCUGUGUGGGUUUCCUUCGGGUGGGCACUCCGGUUUCCUCCCACAUCCCAAAAAACAUGCAACAUUAAUUGGACCAGUUCUAGGUGUACCGCACCUGCCUGUUUACAGCUGGGAUAGGCUCCAGCAUUCCCCGUGACCCUUGUGAGGAUAAGCUAUGUGAAAAUGUGGUUGAGUCAACGGCAAAUCCAGGUUGUUGAAAGAAUUCAGAACCAGGGGUGGACUUAUCAUUGGGCAACCUGAUGCGUCCUGGGAUUUCCAGAGGCCCCCCAAACAUCUCAUGAGAAUUCACAGAGGAACAUGGGCCAUACCCGAAACUGCUCCGGUCUUUCCAGUCUUGGGGUAUUUAUUCGGUUCCAGAAGUCGCUAAGACAGUCCUUCAUUGUACACGUCCUGUUUUGUGCUUCUU